This 253-nucleotide ribosomal RNA is filed under the name uncultured bacterium. RNAcentral's name for it is "partial 16S ribosomal RNA". It matches the Rfam family "Bacterial small subunit ribosomal RNA", at positions 524 to 776 of the family's 1533-position model. The record is from RNAcentral.
UACGUAGGGUGCAAGCGUUAAUCGGAAUUACUGGGCGUAAAGCGUGCGCAGGCGGUUGGGCAAGACAGAUGUGAAAUCCCCGGGCUUAACCUGGGAACUGCAUUUGUGACUGCACAGCUGGAGUGCGGCAGAGGGGGAUGGAAUUCCGCGUGUAGCAGUGAAAUGCGUAGAUAUGCGGAGGAACACCGAUGGCGAAGGCAAUCCCCUGGGCCUGCACUGACGCUCAUGCACGAAAGCGUGGGGAGCAAACAGG